AGUGAUUUGAAGGUUUCCGUUCAUCGUGUAACAAGGCAAAGGUCCCCACGUACUGCAGUGAGCCUGUCUGCAGGAAAGCUGUGUGGACGCCUUUGCUGGGAUUUCAGGAAGACUCUCCCAGACAGAACCCAAGUGGAAGGGUUACACUUUGCAGCAUCGUGAUUCUGUUUUUUACAGUUGGGAAAGUGGAGGUUCAAGGUCAAGUAACCUGCAUUAGGCACAGCCCAGCCCUGUAUUUCCAGAGCCACAGGCCUUUCUGCUCCAGAACAAAGACCCUGACCGCUCGCCUGCUGGUGAGGAGCAGGCUUGGAAAGGUCAAGAACUUUGCCAGAUCUCCCAGCUGGUGAGUGAAGAGUCAGGCUCCGAAGAGGUCUUCUUCUGACCCUGCUAAUGGGCCCCCUCCUCCCCUCUACCCCACCGCAGGCUGCAACGUGGGACUGACUGCCUUCCAAACGUUCUAGCUGUCUUCAGCCCGAAACACUGGAGCUUGGGAGAGAAGGCACUGGAAGUUGGGGGAAAAAAAAACCGUGCCCUCCUGGGGCAAACCUCCAAGCUUGUUCCUUCAGGCCUGACUCAAGUGGAAGAAGUGUGUGUAAUUGACUUUUUGUGAAACUCACUUAAUUCUCUUCUGUCUCUGCCUGUACUGUUUCUUCUUGUACAUCGCCUGGGGGAAUACCCUUCAAUGUUUA
Long non-coding RNA from Leopardus geoffroyi (Geoffroy's cat), 689 nucleotides. RefSeq lists it as uncharacterized. The transcript has 2 exons. The record is from RefSeq and is a predicted model, not a curated record. Lineage: Eukaryota; Metazoa; Chordata; Mammalia; Carnivora; Felidae.